GGAGAGUCCCUGUGCAUGCAGCGGCAGCUUGAAGUAUGCUCAUAGGGCUUGCGUGCAGCGCUGGUGCAACGAGAAAGGUGAUAUAACUUGUGAGAUCUGCCAUGAGUCAUACAAGCCUGGUUACACGGCACCUCCCAGAGCUAAUCCAGAUGAGACCACCAUUGAUAUUAGUGGAGGUUGGACAAUCACUGGUAGUGCCUUGGAUUUACGUGAUCCCCGGAUACUUGCAAUGGCAGCAGCACAGAGGCACUUUCUUGAGGCUGAAUAUGAUGAAUACGCUGCUACAAAUGCCAGUGGUGCUGCAUUUUGUCGCUCAGCUGCUCUAAUUUUAAUGGCUCUUCU
RNAcentral lists this unclassified non-coding RNA (342 nucleotides) under Hevea brasiliensis (rubber tree). Lineage: Eukaryota; Viridiplantae; Streptophyta; Magnoliopsida; Malpighiales; Euphorbiaceae. The record is from RNAcentral.